RNAcentral lists this ribosomal RNA (497 nucleotides) under uncultured bacterium. RNAcentral's name for it is "partial 16S ribosomal RNA". It matches the Rfam family "Bacterial small subunit ribosomal RNA", at positions 28 to 507 of the family's 1533-position model. The record is from RNAcentral.
GAUGAACGCCGGCGGCGUGCCUAAUACAUGCAAGUCGAGCGAACGGACGAGAAGCUUGCUUCUCUGAUGUUAGCGGCGGACGGGUGAGUAACACGUGGAUAACCUACCUAUAAGACUGGGAUAACUUCGGGAAACCGGAGCUAAUACCGGAUAAUAUUUUGAACCGCAUGGUUCAAAAGUGAAAGACGGUCUUGCCGUCACUUAUAGAUGGAUCCGCGCUGCAUUAGCUAGUUGGUAAGGUAACGGCUUACCAAGGCAACGAUGCAUAGCCGACCUGAGAGGGUGAUCGGCCACACUGGAACUGAGACACGGUCCAGACUCCUACGGGAGGCAGCAGUAGGGAAUCUUCCGCAAUGGGCGAAAGCCUGACGGAGCAACGCCGCGUGAGUGAUGAAGGUCUUCGGAUCGUAAAACUCUGUUAUUAGGGAAGAACAUAUGUGUAAGUAACUGUGCACAUCUUGACGGUACCUAAUCAGAAAGCCACGGCUAACUACGUG